AAUGAAGCAUGACUGAUCCAAAAUACAUAUCUGUAUUGACAUGCAUAUUGCAUCAAGUGUCUCAUUAGGCUUUUUAUCUCUGAGGGGUAUCUGUUCUCCUAUCCCUUCGAGGUAUCUAUUGUCUCCUCCCCCAUCUGGUCUGAAAAGGCGUAAGAGAACCACUCCCAGUAGAUCACGGCGUACCCUCUAACGAGAGUGGUAAGACGAAUAUCUAAUAGGGGUCACCCUUGGCUAAGUACUAUCAUGACUGUAGAUAUCUGAUAGGGCCACUAUGGUUGGUACAACCAUGGUCGUAGAUUGUACUAUAGUUUAGCCAGCCAGAAAUGGGCCUAAGCAAAUUGUCAUAUCUAUAUUUGAUCUAGUCA
This 365-nucleotide long non-coding RNA is filed under the name Carica papaya (papaya). RNAcentral describes it as "long non-coding RNA (CPAP_LNC010769)". The record is from RNAcentral. Lineage: Eukaryota; Viridiplantae; Streptophyta; Magnoliopsida; Brassicales; Caricaceae.